UCACUUUCAACAACGGAUCUCUUGGCUCUCGCAUCGAUGAAGAACGUAGCGAAGUGCGAUAAGUAGUGUGAAUUGCAGAAUUCCGUGAAUCAUCGAAUCUUUGAACGCAAAUUGCACUCUCUUCGGAGAGUAUGCCUGUUUGAGG
Molecule: ribosomal RNA, 145 nt
Filed under: uncultured Glomus
Lineage: Eukaryota; Fungi; Glomeromycota; Glomeromycetes; Glomerales; Glomeraceae
Description: 5.8S ribosomal RNA
Rfam family: 5.8S ribosomal RNA
About the family: 5.8S ribosomal RNA (5.8S rRNA) is a component of the large subunit of the eukaryotic ribosome. It is transcribed by RNA polymerase I as part of the 45S precursor that also contains 18S and 28S rRNA.
Source: RNAcentral